This 270-nucleotide ribosomal RNA is filed under the name uncultured archaeon. RNAcentral describes it as "partial 16S ribosomal RNA". It matches the Rfam family "Archaeal small subunit ribosomal RNA", at positions 477 to 747 of the family's 1478-position model. The record is from RNAcentral.
CGGCACCUCAAGUGGUCAGGAUGAUUAUUGGGCCUAAAGCAUCCGUAGCCGGCGCUGUAAGUUUUCGGUUAAAGCUGUACGCUCAACGUACAGGCUGCCGGGAAUACUGCAGCGCUAGGGAGUGGGAGAGGUAGACGGUACUCGGUAGGAAGGGGUAAAAUCCUUUGAUCUAUUGAUGACCACCUGUGGCGAAGGCGGUCUACCAGAACACGUCCGACGGUGAGGGAUGAAAGCUGGGGGAGCAAACCGGAUUAGAUACCCGAGUAGUCC